RNAcentral lists this ribosomal RNA (460 nucleotides) under uncultured bacterium. RNAcentral's name for it is "bacterial SSU rRNA". It matches the Rfam family "Bacterial small subunit ribosomal RNA", at positions 30 to 504 of the family's 1533-position model. The record is from RNAcentral.
CGAACGCUGGCGGCGUGCUUAACACAUGCAAGUCGUACGGUAAGGCCCUUUCGGGGGUACACGAGUGGCGAACGGGUGAGUAACACGUGAGUAACCUGCCCACAACUUUGGGAUAACGCUAGGAAACUGGUGCUAAUACUGGAUAUGUGCUCCUGCUGCAUGGUGGGGGUUGGAAAGCUCCGGCGGUUGUGGAUGGACUCGCGGCCUAUCAGCUUGUUGGUGGGGUAGUGGCCUACCAAGGCGGCGACGGGUAGCCGGCCUGAGAGGGUGACCGGCCACAUUGGGACUGAGAUACGGCCCAGACUCCUACGGGAGGCAGCAGUGGGGAAUAUUGCACAAUGGGCGCAAGCCUGAUGCAGCAACGCCGCGUGCGGGAUGACGGCCUUCGGGUUGUAAACCGCUUUCAGCAGGGACGAAGCUUUUUGUGACGGUACCUGCAGAAGAAGCACCGGCUAACUAC